This 480-nucleotide ribosomal RNA is filed under the name uncultured Alphaproteobacteria bacterium. RNAcentral's name for it is "bacterial SSU rRNA". It matches the Rfam family "Bacterial small subunit ribosomal RNA", at positions 9 to 524 of the family's 1533-position model. The record is from RNAcentral. Lineage: Bacteria; Pseudomonadati; Pseudomonadota; Alphaproteobacteria.
GAGUUUGAUCGUGGCUCAGAACGAACGCUGGCGGCAUGCCUAACACAUGCAAGUCGAACGGGAUCCAGGCUUCGGCCUGGUGAGAGUGGCGGACGGGUGAGUAACGCGUGGGAACCUGCCCAAUGGUCUGGGAUAACCGCGGGAAACUGCGGCUAAUACCGGAUAAGCCCGAGAGGGGAAAGAUUUAUCGCCGAUGGAGGGGCCCGCGUCCGAUUAGGUAGUUGGUGAGGUAACGGCUCACCAAGCCUUCGAUCGGUAGCUGGUCUGAGAGGAUGAUCAGCCACACUGGGACUGAGAUACGGCCCAGACUCCUACGGGAGGCAGCAGUGGGGAAUAUUGGACAAUGGGGGCAACCCUCGAUCCAGCAAUGCCGCGUGAGUGAUGAAGGCCUUAGGGUUGUAAAGCUCUUUUGCCGGGGACGAUGAUGACGGUACCCGGAGAAUAAGCCCCGGCUAACUUCGUGCCAGCAGCCGCAGUAAC